GACGAACGCUGGCGGCGUGCUUAACACAUGCAAGUCGAGCGGUAAGGCCCUUUCGGGGGUACACGAGCGGCGAACGGGUGAGUAACACGUGGGUGACUUGCCCUCAGCUCUGGGAUAAGCCUGGGAAACCGGGUCUAAUACUGGAUAUGACUCCAUGACGCAUGUUGUGGGGUGGAAAGCCUUGUGCGGCUGAGGAUGGGCCCGCGGCCUAUCAGCUUGUUGGUGGGGUGANGGCCUACCAAGGCGACGACGGGUAGCCGGCCUGAGAGGGCGACCGGCCACACUGGGACUGAGACACGGCCCAGACUCCUACGGGAGGCAGCAGUGGGGAAUCUUGCGCAAUGGGCGAAAGCCUGACGCAGCGACGCCGCGUGAGGGAUGACGGCCU
Molecule: ribosomal RNA, 388 nt
Filed under: uncultured bacterium
Lineage: Bacteria
Description: bacterial SSU rRNA
Rfam family: Bacterial small subunit ribosomal RNA
Source: RNAcentral